UGGGGAAUUUUGGACAAUGGGGGCAACCCUGAUCCAGCAAUGCCGCGUGUGUGAAGAAGGCCUUCGGGUUGUAAAGCACUUUUGUUCGGAACGAAACGCGCUGGGCUAAUAUCCCGGCGUAAUGACGGUACCGGAAGAAUAAGCACCGGCUAACUACGUGCCAGCAGCCGCGGUAAUACGUAGGGUGCAAGCGUUAAUCGGAAUUACUGGGCGUAAAGCGUGCGCAGGCGGUUGUGCAAGACAGAUGUGAAAUCCCCGGGCUUAACCUGGGAAUUGCAUUUGUGACUGCACGGCUAGAGUGUGUCAGAGGGGGUAGAAUUCCACGUGUAGCAGUGAAAUGCGUAGAUAUGUGGAGGAAUACCGAUGGCGAAGGCAGCCCCUGGGAUAACACUGACGCUCAUGCACGAAAGCGUGGGGAGCAAACAGGAUUAGAUACCC
RNAcentral lists this ribosomal RNA (438 nucleotides) under uncultured bacterium. RNAcentral's name for it is "bacterial SSU rRNA". It matches the Rfam family "Bacterial small subunit ribosomal RNA", at positions 355 to 787 of the family's 1533-position model. The record is from RNAcentral.